GCCUUACAUGAUACUUAUUCUUCGUUAUCGCCAGAGAACUACAAGUGAAAAACUUCAAACUCAAAGGACUUGGCGGUGUCCCAUACCGACCUAGAGGAGCCUGUCCUAUAAUCGAUAACCCCCGUUCUACCUAACCUCCAUUAGCACUUUCAGCCAUAUAUACCGCCGUCGACAGUCUACCCCAUGAGGGUCUAAUAGUAGACAUAAUAGCUUAACCCGCUAACACGUCAGGUCAAGGUGUAGCACAUGUUGAGGAAGAGAUUGGCUACAUUUUUUAACCUAAAAAAGACGAAAUGCAGCAUGAAACACUGCAUGAAGGUGAAUUUAGUAGUAAGACUGAACAAGAGUGUUCACCUUAACAACGCUCUGGGACGCGCACACACCGCCCGU
This 390-nucleotide ribosomal RNA is filed under the name Eremias montana. RNAcentral describes it as "partial 12S ribosomal RNA". It matches the Rfam family "Bacterial small subunit ribosomal RNA", at positions 875 to 1397 of the family's 1533-position model. Lineage: Eukaryota; Metazoa; Chordata; Lepidosauria; Squamata; Lacertidae. The record is from RNAcentral.